UAUUCCAAGGAGCGUUGCAGCACGGUGUUCCACAUCGUGUCAGGCUUGGAUAUCUUUUUCGCAACGGCGCUCACGUUAC
Molecule: non-coding RNA, 79 nt
Filed under: Noviherbaspirillum sp. Root189
Lineage: Bacteria; Pseudomonadati; Pseudomonadota; Betaproteobacteria; Burkholderiales; Oxalobacteraceae
Also listed under: 1 other name
Description: SAH (S-adenosyl-L-homocysteine) riboswitch aptamer
Rfam family: SAH (S-adenosyl-L-homocysteine) riboswitch aptamer
Source: Rfam by way of RNAcentral